Molecule: transfer RNA, 72 nt
Filed under: Gekko smithii
Lineage: Eukaryota; Metazoa; Chordata; Lepidosauria; Squamata; Gekkonidae
Description: tRNA-Trp
Source: RNAcentral
AGAAGUUUAGGUUAGUAUCUUUUAAACCAAGGGCCUUCAAAACCCUAAACGGGACUCACAUCCCAAUUUCUG